GCUGGGCAUGGUGGCACGUGCCUAUAGUCCCAGCUACUUGGGAGGCUGAGGCAGGAGGACUGCUUGAGCUCAGGAGUUCUGGGCUGUAGUGCACUAUAAUUGGUGUCACACUAAGUUCAGCAUCAAUAUGGUGACCUUCCCGGAGGGGGGCGGCACUGCCAGAUUGCCUAAGGAGGGGUGAAACAGCCCAGGGCAGAAACAGAACAGGUCAAAACUCCCGUGCUGAUCAGUAGUGGGAUCGUGCCUGUGAAUAGCCACUGCACUCCAGCCUGGGCAACAUAGCUUUUUU
RNAcentral lists this signal recognition particle RNA (289 nucleotides) under Microcebus murinus (gray mouse lemur). RNAcentral describes it as "Metazoan signal recognition particle RNA (ENSMICG00000027418.2)". It matches the Rfam family "Metazoan signal recognition particle RNA". From Rfam's summary of the family: The signal recognition particle (SRP) is a universally conserved ribonucleoprotein. It is involved in the co-translational targeting of proteins to membranes. The record is from Rfam by way of RNAcentral. Lineage: Eukaryota; Metazoa; Chordata; Mammalia; Primates; Cheirogaleidae.